AUUUCUUAGCCACAUUCUCGGCACAAUAGAGGCAUACGAAACUCUCGCGAAACUGGAAAAAUAUUACAACGACGAUAACAUUCCAGGAAACCCUGAUGUAGUGUUCCUCCUAACUAAUCGGGAUAUGUCUACAGCUAGGGGCACAUCUCUUGAUAAGAAUAUUGCAGGACUUGCAAAUGUCGCUGGGGUCUGCACAAGGCACCGAGUGGCUAUGGCAGAAGACGUCGCCCCCUCGUUUGACGGCGUCUUCGGAAUGGCUCACGAGAUCGGCCAUUCGCUAGGCGCUCGGCAUGACCCUCGAGG
This is a long non-coding RNA of Rhipicephalus microplus (southern cattle tick), 303 nucleotides long. The record is from RefSeq and is a predicted model, not a curated record. Lineage: Eukaryota; Metazoa; Arthropoda; Arachnida; Ixodida; Ixodidae.